GGACUACUAGGGUUUCUAAUCCUGUUUGAUCCCCACGCUUUCGUGCCUCAGUGUCAGUUACAGUUUAGCAAGCUGCCUUCGCAAUCGGUGUUCUGUGUCAUAUCUAUGCAUUUCACCGCUACAUGACACAUUCCGCCUACCUCAACUGUACUCAAGACUGCCAGUAUCAAUGGCAAUUUCCGGGUUGAGCCCGGAUCUUUCACCACUGACUUAACAAUCCACCUACGCACCCUUUAAACCCAGUAAAUCCGGAUAACGCUCGCACCCUCCGUAUUACCGCGGCUGCUGGCAC
RNAcentral lists this ribosomal RNA (292 nucleotides) under uncultured Bacteroidota bacterium. Its description in RNAcentral is "uncultured Bacteroidetes bacterium partial 16S ribosomal RNA". The record is from RNAcentral. Lineage: Bacteria; Pseudomonadati; Bacteroidota.